GAUGAACGCUGGCGGCGUGCCUAACACAUGCAAGUCGAGCGAUCUUCUUCGGAAGAGAGCGGCGGACGGGUGAGUAACGCGUGGGUAACCUGCCCUGUACACACGGAUAACAUACCGAAAGGUAUGCUAAUACGAGAUAAUAUGCUUUUAUCGCAUGGUAGAAGUAUCAAAGCUCCGGCGGUACAGGAUGGACCCGCGUCUGAUUAGCUAGCUGGUAAGGUACGGCUUACCAAGGCGACGAUCAGUAGCCGACCUGAGAGGGUGAUCGGCCACAUUGGAACUGAGACACGGUCCAAACUCCUACGGGAGGCAGCAGUGGGGAAUAUUGCACAAUGGGCGAAAGCCUGAUGCAGCAACGCCGCGUGAGCGAUGAAGGCCU
Molecule: ribosomal RNA, 379 nt
Filed under: uncultured bacterium
Lineage: Bacteria
Description: bacterial SSU rRNA
Rfam family: Bacterial small subunit ribosomal RNA
Source: RNAcentral